This is a long non-coding RNA of Malaclemys terrapin pileata, 555 nucleotides long. RefSeq lists it as uncharacterized. The transcript has 3 exons. NCBI's taxonomy places the organism in Eukaryota, Metazoa, Chordata, Testudines, Emydidae. The record is from RefSeq and is a predicted model, not a curated record.
CAGUUUCUGUGUAUUCUUUUAAUUGUUUCAUUUCACAUUGAAAUACCUUAUUUUGGCAGGUAUUUUUCAAGCUAGUGUUUUGAAGCAACAGCCUGAGAAGUAUACAUGUGUAUAGGCUCUAAGCCUGGGCUGCCACCAUCUGAUGGGCUUUCCCAGAAAGACAAGAAUAGCUACUGCUGCUCCUGAACCCUUUAUGAACCCAGAAAGGACAAGGAGCCUCUUCCUUUGAUGCUGCGGAGUGGAAGGGCCAGGGCCAGGAGUCCUUUUCCAGCCUAGGAUGGGCAGAGAAGAAGAGGACACUUGGAUCCCUAAUAAAUCCUGUGGGCCAGAAGUGGAACGAAUUUUUCCUACCAGGCUGUGGAGCUACUCCAAUGCCACUACUUCUGCCUUGAAGUUGCUGUAACCCCUGCUGCUGCUGCUGCACUCCUUUGGACAAAAUAGGUGGUAAUCAGUCCCACAUUUCCCCCUCUCAUGUCCUGUGGCCAUCCCCAGCUGCAAGGGGCACGGAGGGGGCCUCUGGAACUGGGCUAUGCAACAGUCAGGGACUCUGCAUCC